GGUCCCUCUAGGUGCCCUGCUGGGCUGCAAACCAGCCACGGACGGACGGAGGAGAUGGCAGAAGAGGCCUAUCAAGCAAUUCCAGUUCUUUUUGUCUUCAUUUUCAAUCCAAGUGAAUGCAUUGGAGAUGGGACUAAAAUCUGUUUGGGAAAACAGAACCAUCUGGGAUCACUGGUCAGAGUUCUGAAUAGUGUACAAAGAAGAAAAGAAAAUGUGCUGACUUCUGAUAAAUGGGAAGAUGGUUACUUGGCUUAAUUGCAACCAGUUGAGAGGGUUCUUUUGUCUGCUUUUUUCCCUCAACUUUUUCUUUAAAUCAGUGUUAUGCAACUGUCCCCAGCGACUCCAGAAAGCCCAGCUGAAAUGUCUGUUGUCCUUUGCUGCUACUGCCUCUCCACCCACCCUGGCUUCACAGAGCAGGGUGUUGUAGCCAGUAGGAUCCCUAUGCAUUUAUUUCUGUUACAGGUAGAUGAGGUGCUCAAAUGUGAAACAUUAAACCCACUUCUUUUUGUAUUUCUCAGAUGCUAAGUAUUUGUUCUCUGAUUCAACAUAUUCAUUAAAUCCAAACAUUUACUCAACACCCACCAUGUGCCAGGCCCUCUUGAAGGCGCUGGGAUUGCUAAGGCAAAUGAGACACAGAUCUGCCUUCAAAGAGCUCCAGCUUAUUGGGAGAGCAGAGAAAUAUUACUAACACAUGGCUGCAGAGGAGGACAGAGCAUGGAGAAAGGCUUUGAAGAGAGUACCAAACGAUAUGGAGGUGACCUUCCAUGAGGGAAAACAAGAGAGAGGAGCAUGAGUGAGAGGGAAAAUGUAAUGGAGAAAAAGGAGCAGCCAGCUGGGUGUUUGUUUGAAAAACUCAGUCUCUUUGAUGUACGCUGGCUGAAGGCUCCUGGUGUGUUGGUGUAAAUCGCAGACAACUUUAUCUUGGAAGUAACCAACUUUACCACGAAGUAACCUCAGUAGGUGGAAGCCUUAAUCGGAAGAACCUUUCUAACCUUGAGAGAUGUGAGAAAGGCUAAGCCAAGAUAGUAAAGCUGAGCACUGUGUUUAUACAACACCUUGUCCGGAGAAACCCAUAACAUUUCCCUCCCAUUAAGAUUGGUUCUUUUUAGUAACUAAAAGUCAACAAAAGUUUUGCAGUUUGGGAAAGAAUUCCUCAUUUAUAGAAGAUGUCAUAGUUGGGAAGUCCUGAACGUCUGCUUAUAAUGAAAAACAUGGGGAUCAAAACACUGUGAGGAGCAUGAAGGAGCUGGAGCUGUGUAAUUUUGGCCAGAACAGCUAUGACCACAGCUGGGACACGACGCUGGUGAUGAAACCUUGAAUAUUUAAAAGGAGGCUGAGAGAGGAGGAGAAUGAUGAAUGAGCUCAGGAAGACAUGAUGGCUUCUGCAAUGGCACUAAUAAAUGGAAUGUAGACUCCAACUCCAGAUUUUGAAAUGGAAACUUAACUACAAGUGAACAAACAAGAAAAAUGAAUGAGACUCCAGAGUCCUGCAAACACUGCUUCACACCCUCCACCUAGAGGCAUCUUCUGGACUUCAGGCCAAGAGGCUGAUACUACACUCUAAGGAAAAUUGACUGCAUUUCAAGUAAUAGCUUACUUGGGUACAGGUCUGAGCACCUCAGCAAUAGAGCUGGGGGCUUUUAUGCCAAGGAUCUUCAGGGCAUAUGAAGGCAAAUAUUCUCCAUAUAUUUUCCCGUGAUUUCCUGAGAAACAGAGAUCUGCUGGAAUAGUCCAUGGUGGAAAAUGAAGCACAGGUAUUGUUUUUUUAAUCAAUAUAUUGAUUGAUCUAUUAAGUGAUGACAGCGGUUAAUUUUACAUCAGCUUGACUGGGCUAAGGGAUGCCACACUGCAGGCAAAAUUCUAUUCCUGUGUGUCUGUGAGGGUGUUCUCAGAAGAGAUUAGCAAUUGAACUGGUAGACACAGUAAAGAAGAUUGCCUCCACCAGUGUGGGUGGGCAUCAUCCAAUCCAGUGAGGGUCUGAAUAGAACAAAAAGCUGAAGAAUGGGCAUAUUUGCUCACUUUUCUUGAGCUUGGCCGACUUUCUUCUCCUGUUCUCAGACAUCUAUUCUCCUGGCCUUUGGACUUAGACCAGGACUUACACUACCACCUCCUCUGGUUCUCAGACCUUUGGACUUGGAUUGAAUUAUGCUAAGACCUUUCCUUCUCCUGCUUGAGAUGGCAGAUUGUGGAACUUGUCCUUCACGAUUGCAUGAGCCAAUUCCUAUAACACAUUUCCUUUUAAAUAUACCAAUACAUACCCUAUUUUUUCUGUUUCUCUGGAGAAAACUAAUACAGUGAUCCUGGAUUGAGGCUCUUAUCCCUCCAUUUUACUGGCCCAUUUGUGUAAUGUUGUCUCCCACUGUCUGUUGAUGUCACUUUCUCACCACCCUCCCUCUGAGGUCCCAUGGUCAAGCCACCAUCACCUCCUUUUUAAAAAAAGAGCUUUGUUGGGGUAUAAUGCACAUACUGUAAAUUCAUCAAUUAUAAGUAUAUGUUCAGUAAUUUCUAAGAAAUGUACAGAAUUAUGUAAUCAUUAGCACAGUUUUAGGAUAUCUCCAUCACCCCAAAACAUUUCUUUGUGCCUAUUUGCAGUCAAUUCUGUUCCCACUUUCAAUCCCAGGCAACUACUGCCCUGUUUUCUGUGUCUAUAGAUUUGCCUUUUCUGGGUAUUUCAUUUAAAUCAGUACAUAGUGUUUCAUGUGUGUCUUCUUUCACUUAGCAUGAUGCUUCUGAGGCUUGGCUAUGCUGCAGCAUGAGUUGGUAGUUUGCUCCUUCUCAUUGCUGAUAGGAUUUCACUGCAUGGACAUAACACAUUGGUCUCUCCUUUCACUAGUCAGUGGAUAUUUGGAUUGUUCCCAAUUUGGGGCUAUUAUGAACCUUAAUGUAUAAAGUUGUGAACCUUAAUAUAUAAGUCUUUCUAUGCAUAUAUGUUGGGAUUUCUCUUAUGUAGAUAUCUAGAUGUGGAAUUGCUAGAUUGUAAGUGUAUGUUUAUAGGAAGCCAUCAAACUGUUUUCCAAAGUGGCUGUGCCGUUCUCCAUUCCCACAGGUAUGAGGAUUCUUAUUUCUCCACAUCUUCAACACCACUUAUUGUCUGUCUUUUUUAUUCUAGCCAUUGUAGUGGGGGUGGUAGUACCUCACUGUGGUUUUAAAUUCCAUCUCCCUAAUGAUUUAAUGAUGUUGAGCAUCUUUUCAUGUGUUUAUUAGCUCUUCCUAUGUUUUCUUUGGUGAAAAUGUUUUUUCAAGUCUUUUGGCCAUUUUUAAAUUGGAUUGUCUUCUUAUUCUUUAGUUAUAUGAGUUAUUUAUAUAGUAUGAUUAUGAGUCUUUUAUCAAAAGAUGAUAAUUUAUGAAACUUUUCUCCCAAUUUGUGCCUUGCCUUUUCAUUUUCUUGAUCAUACCUUUUAGAAGAGCAAAAGUUUUGAUUUUGAUAAAGCCCAGUUAUCAAUGUUUUCUUUCAUACAUCAUGCUUUUUCUGUCAUGUACCAGAAAUCUAUGCCUAAACCAAUGUCCCUAAAUUUUUUUCUUAUGUUUUCCUCUAAAAGUUUUUAAUUACACUUCUACAUUGUCUAUGAUCCAUUCUGAGUUAAUUUUUGUGUAUGGUAUAAAGUUAUUGUCUAUGUACUUUUUAUUUUUAUUUAUUUUUUGCAUAUGAAUACCAACUGUCUCAGCACUAUUAUUUGGAAAGGCUGUCCUCUCCCCCACUGAACUGCCUUGACACAUUUGUCAAAAUUCAUUUGACCAUAAGUGUGAGAGCUUACAUCUGGACUCUCAUUUCUGUUUCAUUGAUCUAUGUGAUUAUCCUACACCAAGACCACAUUGUCUUGAUUACUGUAGCUUUAUGGCAAAUUUGAAAUUGGGUAAUAUAAGGACUCUUCUUUUUCAAGAUUGUUUCAGCUAUUCUAUGGUUUUUGCAUUUUCUUACGCAUUUUAAAAUAAACCUGUCAAUUUCUACAAAACAGCCUGAUGGCAGUUUUAUAGAGAUUGAAUUAAAUCUAUAGAUCCUUCUGGAGAAAAUUGUCAUUAUAAAAAUAUUGAGUCAUUCAUGAAUAUGGAAUAUUCUCCAUUUAUUCAGUGGUGUUUUGUAGUUUUUAUGUACAAGUCCUACUUUACACUUCUUUUGUUAAAUUGAUUCCUAAAUAUUUUAUUAUUUUUGAUGCUACUGUGAAUAGAAUUCAUUUUUUAAUCCCGUUUUUGGAUCAUUCCUUGCUAAUAUAUAGAAAUACAAUUGAUUUUUGUACAUUGAUCCUGUAUGCUGUUUAUUCCUUGCUAAACUUGUUUAUUAGUUCUAAUAGAUCUUUUUACAUGUGGAUUUCUUAGGAUUUUCUACAUACGAGAUCAUGUUGUUAGUAAAUAAAAGCAGUUUUACUUCUUCUGUUCCAAUUGAUAUGCCUUUAAUUUUUUUUCUUAAUUUAAUGAGCUAAUUGGAAUUUCAGUACAAUGUUGAAUAGGAGGAGUAAGAGUGAAUGUCCUUCCCUUAUUCCCAAUCUUAGUGGGAAAACAUUCAGUCUUUCAUUAUACCAUAUGAUACUAGUUACGCAUUAGUUGUAGAUGACUUUAAUCAGGUUAAAGAACUUCCCUUGUAUUCCUAGCUUGCUGAUAGUUUUUAAUCAUGAGUGGUUGCUCGUUCUUGUUAAAUGCUUUUUCUGUGUCUAUUAAGAUAAUCAUAUGGGGUUUAUCUUUCAUUCUAUUAAUAUUGUGCAUUGCAUUAAUUGAAUUUUGAGCACUAAACCAGCCUUAUAUAACUCUUCAACAACACUUACUGCCUUUCUUUUUUAUUAUAGCCAUUCUAGUAAGGAGUAGUAGUAGUAUUUCAUUUUAGUUUUAAAUUAUAUCUCUCUAAUGAUUUAAUGAUGUUGAACAUCUUUUCAUGUGCUUAUUAGCUCUCGGUGUGGCAUGUAAUUAUUUUUAUAUAUUUUUGGAUUCAGUUUUUAAAAUUUUAAGGACUUUUGCAUAUAAUUUCAUGGAGAUAGUGAUCUAUAGUUUUCUUGAGAUCUUUGUCUAACUUUUGUAUCAGGGCACUACUGGGCUCACAGCAUGUGUUUGGAAGUGUUUCCUUAUCCUUUAUUUUUGGUAAGUAAAGAAUUAGAAUUCUUCUUUUCUAAAUAUUUGGUAGAAUUUACCAGUGAAUCUGUCUGGGACUGAAUUUUUUGCUAGAUAAUUUCUAUCAAUUAUUGAGAGUGGAGAUUAAAAUCUCCACUCACUGUGGGAAGAUUUUAAAUUACUAACUCAAAUUCCUUAUUUAUUAAAGGUCUAGUCAGAUUUUCUGUUUCUUCUUGAGUCAGUUUCAGUAGUUUAUCUCUUUCUACAAAUAUGUCUAUUUCUUAUAGGUUGUCUAAUUUGAUACAAAGUAGUCCAUAAUAUUCAUUUACAAUUCUUAAUUUUUGUAAGGAUGGUAAGAAUUGCCCCUUUUUUACUGAUUUUGGUAAUUUGUGUCUUCCUUUUUAAAUUUUCUGGUCAGUCUAGGUAAAGAUUUAUCAACUGUAUUGAUCUUUUCAAGUGACUGACUUUGAUUUUCUCUGUUGUUUUCUGUUUUCUGUUCUAAUCGUUAUUAUUCCCUUUCUUUUGCUUGUUUUGGAUUUAUUAGCUUCUCUAUUUCUAUUUUCUUAUGGUAGAUGUUUAAGUUAUUGAUUUAAGAUUUUUCUCCUGUUCUAAGGUAGGUAUUUAUAUAGCUAUAUAUUGCCCUGUAAUCACUACGUUGGCUGUAACCCACAAAUUUUGAUAUGUUGAAUUUUCCUUUCAUUCAGCCCAAAAUAUUUUAAAUAUUUCCUCUGGUGUUUUACUUUGACAAAUAGAUUAUUUGGAUGUGUUUUGUUUGAUUUCCAAGUAUUUGGUAAUUCCAAAUUUCUUUCUGUUGUUUUCUAAUUUAAUUACAUUGUAGUUAGAGAAUAUACUUUGUAUGAUUUUAAACAUAUUAAAUUUACUAGAACUUGUUUUGUGACCUAAUAUAUGGUCACUUCUGGAAUAUGUUCCAUAUAUUUGAAAAGAAUGCCUAUUCUUCUGUCAUUGGAUGGAAUGUUUUAUAAAUAUCAGUGAGGUCAGGUGUUAUUUAAGUUUUCUGUAUGGUUGCUGAUUUUCUGUCUAGUUUUUCUAUCAAUUAUUGAGAGUGGAGUAUUAAAAUCUCCAACUGUCAUGUUUGAGCACUAUCGCCUCUUGUUUAGGCUAUUAUAAGGGAUUAGCACUUUGCUUUAUUUACCUCCACAGGACUUAUCCUUAUCUGACUCAGUAUAUAUUUUACUUACACACUAGAAUAUACAGCUCCCAUGAUGGCAGGGAUUUCUGCCACUUUUCAUCACUGUGAUAUGCCUAGCAUGUAACAGUGCCUGACACAUAUCAGUCACUCACAAAUAUUUGUUGCAUGGAUAAAUGUAUCACCAAACAGACGGCACUCACUAUUUUCUUGGGUGAAUACAAAACUCCUCAUUCCUACCACUUGGUGAUCUGAAAAGAGUCCCUUUGGAAUACUGAGAUGGAUUAAAGGCAAAGGUGGGAAAUAUAAGGGGUACCUAUGCAUUGGGCCAUAUGCAGAAACUACCCCUAUUCCCUCAUGUUUUCCUUUUGAGUUUAUCUCUCCUUGCAUUUCAUAGUCAUCAAAGCAGUAGACACCUGAGGGCCAGGACUGGAUGCAGGUGUUAAGGAACAAGGCCACUGUUCUUGAUUUUGAUCCAGGCUAUUUGGGUGCCUUCUCCAGGCAAAGGAAUCCCUCUGGCAUCUGGUGGCCUGUGUAGUUCAGUGGGGGUUAAUUCCCAAGCAGAGAGGGUAAGGAGGGGCUAAAACUUCAAAGUAAUAAGCAGAGUGGUUUUCCCUUCCAUAUAUACUUUUCUCUCCUGACCUUUGGGAGGUAGCCUUAGUUGGCUGGUCCACGAUUGGGUGUUUAUGAUCCCUACUACAUAUAAUUCUGUCUUAGCAGAACUGACGCUGUCUACUCAGGUGUAUAUCCUGAGGUAACCUUGAAAUGUUAUGUUUAUCCUGCUUUGGAAGGCUGUUCUAUACAACAUCAGGGAAAAAAAUCCAGCAUGUGCUGUUUGUUCAGUGCUUGGCAUAUUAUAUCAAGAUAUUUUACAUGUAUUUAGCAAUUAUAUAUUUUAUAGAUCUAUAUGCUUAAUCAGUUAAAAAUAAAAUAUUAACUGAUAUUUUUCUUUUACUCAUUAAAGUUAGGCCUAAGUUUUGUAAACUGUUCUUAUAGGGUCUUUAAAAUCAACUGGAGCUCAUAGGAGAGGUCUGGACUGAAGACAAGAAUUCGGGCACCAUAUAUGAAUAUAAAAACAUAAUAAUUAAAGGUGUUAGGAUCUAUCUGAUCCUCUAACGAGUGAGAAAGGGAGAGAACCUAGGGUGAAACCUUGAGAAUUUAACUUUUAGUAGUUGAUUAGAGGAUGAUGAGCCAGAAAAGGCAGGGAAGGCACAUUUGGAGAGGCAGGAGGACAUUAUACCCCAGCAGGUGUGUGUCCACUUCCUGAAAACAUGCAGUUCCCGUGGCACACCUUGCUUUGGAGGAGUCUAACUCCUAGUAAAUUGCUUGUCAUUUAAUUACAAAUUCUCAUUAAGUGGAUAAUCCUGAAAUUGUUCUUGACCCUGGAUAAAUAGUUCUUAGUCAGAGGUACCUAGAACCCUGGGUGGAUGGAGAGUCUUGUUUACUAAGAUGCUGCGUUUUCAUCAAAAUUAUUUUAUUCCAAUUCGUGUCCCCUUUUAAGAGUGACAUAUCCUUUUCUAAUGACCCUAUUAUCCAUCUACAACUUUUUGGCAUUCUAGUAACAAUCUGAAUAUUUGAUGUCAGUAAAACAUACCAAACAUUGUACAAGUAAAGUUGAAUUAUUAUUGCAGCUUCCCUGGAAAUGAAAUUAUUUCUUGUUUUUGUGUUUAAUGUUUGUGGCAGUAAAAUCCCCAAUGAAUUUUUAUUUUAUUACUUUAGAGUCAGUAACAAAUUUAUUUGUAAAAGUUCUAUUUUAUUUGGUUCACCCACUCAUUCAUCCAUCAAAUAUAUAUUAAGUGUCUAUUAUUUUAUAGACGCUGGGAGUGUUAGGACAACAGGAAUGGUUCUCAAGCUUCAGUGUGCAUUGGAACCACCUGGAAAACUUAUUAAAUAUACAUGUGCUCCAGUGCCACCCCUCAUAUUCAGUAGGUCCCAGGUAGUGCGCAGGAAUCUAUGUUUAGUAAGCUCUCUGUGUGAUUCUGGUGCACAAAAAGUUUUAGAACUAUUGGUCUUUGUAAAAACAUUCAUUGAAAAACUUAAAUGUAAUACAAUAUAAGAGGUGUCAGAUAGAAGCACACACAGGGUAGGGUGUAUAUUAAAUUUUAUUAUAUUCAUAUCUUACCAUAACAGUAAACUGUACACUCAAUAAUAUCGUUGUAAUUUUCCACUGUAAUGGAAUUUUUUGGUAGGGCUUUACAGCACUAGUGGUAUGAUUUAUUUUCAUUAAUAUUGCAGAAAUGUUUAAUGUCCUUAUAAAUGAUCAUAAAGGUAAGAGAAUACUGUAAACAUACAAAUGUCAUUAUAUUCAUGCAUGUAACUCUCUUUAAUGGGAAUGGGGAAAGCAUCUGGCAGUUCUCAUUUAAAUACUAGGGAGCCUAUUCUGUGUUCAUUAUAGGACUGUCCUCUCGUAAUUGAAAAUGUUCUUUCCUUUUCUUUUUUUUCCUUUUUCUGCUUGGGUCCUUUUCCAGCCUGUUGAUUCAACAGUUUCAAACACUGAAAGAACAUUUACAGAAGUUUCUGCUAAAACCAUAGGAAUGAUGCAAAGUACAAAAUUCUUGAAUCUUAUGUUGGGGGAAACAGCUUUCUUUUAAAGACUAAUUCGUGUUUUCUUUUUAAAAAGAGGUGCUUAUUCACCAUGCUGUUCACAAGGAAACUUAGGCUGGGAGGAACAGAUCAGCUCCAUUUUUAUUGUAAGAAAGCUGCAAUAUUCUUUGAUUAUAGGACUUAACAGGGAGAGAUGUUGAUUAAAAGCAACUAUUUAACAAAUCUAAUUUAAAAAUUGAGUGAAAAUAACAGAAUUUGAAAAAACUCGAGAAUUUUUUCAAAAUGUUGCUUCAAAAUGUCUCUCAGUCUCUUGAAUUUGUUUCAAGAAGUACAUUUGCCGAUCACCAAGAUUCCUGACUUUCUCUCCUUCCAGGGCACAGGUAAGGUGUACUUCCCAACCUGCUUUGCAUCAUCAAAGGUUCAUCUGACUAAGUUCUAGCCAAUGGAAUGUGACUGGAAGUGAUGUGAUAUACACCUCUUCCAGGCUCGACGCAUGAAAAUGUCUCACUGUGGUUCUCCAUGCACCUUCUCUGUCUGCUGGAUGAUAACACUCAGGCAACCUUGAAGGCUGCAAGCUGAAAACUGUGGGGACUCUGUCAGCCUAGAUGCUUGAGUAACUGUGCAGGGCAGAGACACCCCACCCCCAUCCUCUCCAUCCCAUUGCCAGUGGACUUAGCUUGAGAGAGAAACAAACUUUCACUUUGCUAAGCCUCCAAAGUGUUGGAUUUGGUUUGUAACUGCAGUUAGCUUGCUUUAACCAAUACAGGAUGUAAGGAUAUAGGCAAGUCUGUACCAUGAGACUGUGCACUGGCCUACUAUUUCUGGAGCCAAAGUCCUGUAAUUCUCCUGCCAAGGCUGCCUUUAACACAAUCCACCACUGAGAAAAUUCUCUGGAAAAGACUCCUCUGCUCCAGAGGUGCAGUACUUAGGCUGUCAGGAGUAUUCUAGUCUUGCAAGGAUAAUUCAAAAGCCCCCAUUCCUCUUAGCUUAUGGGACAUAGUCCUAGAAGCACACAGAAUAUAAAACACUCAAAAAUUCUAACCCCAAAAUUGAGAGAGAACAAAAUUAGAUACAAGGAAACCAGAGGCAUGGCCACAAUGGAGAGGACAUGCAGUGGAGACAGAAUCAGAACACAGUACCACCUCUAAGCCUUAAUUGUACAUGCUAUUAACUGGUGGAUGCUGUCAUUAAAUUUACAAGAAAAUCCUCCUAAAAUUAAAAAAUAUUUUACUGUAUGGAAGUCAGAUAGCAGAUUUCACAGUGUCCGAAGUCAUAGUCCUUAUCACUUACAAAGAGACAUGUUUGCCUUCCCUUUCAAGAUGACGACUGAGCCCUUCCAAAAUGUCUCCUCCCUCCCAUGGAAGCCAGCCUCUCACACGCCAGCGCCCUACCCUCUGAGCGAUCACUCUCGACUGGGGAGCUGUUUUGGUAUUGCCCACUCCAAAUGCAAUCUCCGUGGAUAUAGAAACCAUUUAAGAAUUUGCAAACUGACCUCAUUUUUAAUUUCAGUUUUUUAGAAUAUUCCUCUGUUAAGAAGAGGCAACAGGCCCAAAAUGGAGUCAUUUAUGCCAAGUCCCAUUCACCAUACUGAGACUUAAAACCCAACUUAAUUACAGUUCCAGUCUCUCCCAGGAAUGGAACCUUAAGCAGUCAGUCCCGGACUGCCUGGUCCUCACUAGUGAGGUGCUCUGCCUGAUGGAGCCUUGCCCUCAAGGAAGGUGACCUUGCUGCAACCAGUUUGCUUUCUGCCAGUCUAACUUCCUUCUCCUGCUCCCUGCUGCCUGUCCUUUACUUUGUACAGCUCCUCAGAGCUCCUUUCUAUCCACUAGAUGGGAUGCUGCCUGACUCAUGAAUCACUGAAUAAGGCCAAUUAAGAUCUUUAAAAUAUACUCCAUUGAAUUUUGUUUUUUAACACCUUCAAGCAUUAAAAACCCUUCAGCCAUUAUAGAUGCCUCUCUCUGCUUCCUAGUCCAUUACAUAAAAUAGCUACCACCCAAGCAACAGUUAUUCUGUUCCAGGCAGGGUGCAUGGUCUUGGCAUACAUUAUCUUAUUUAAUCUUCAUGAGAUAGGUACUAUUGUCCCAUUGUGCAGAUGGAAAAACUGAGGCACCAAAGGUUAAGCAACUUGAACAAGCUCAUACAGCUAGUAAGGAGCAAAACCAGCAUUCAAACCUGAGCACUCUGAAUGCCCAAACCUCCACUCUUGACCACUGUACCAUACUGCCUCUACUUCCACUCGGCAAAUUUUUGUUCAUGGAAGACACCUCUUGGGAGAGUAGCUAGUGCUUCAGAAGGAUCAAUAAAUAAAUUCCUGUCGGUCAGAGCUUCAUAGCUUCACGUGUUUUCAUUCUGGCACUUUUGGAAUUUGGGAACCUCUCACCGUGGUCCUAGUGUCCGUCCACAGAGGUACCUCCCUUCUGUAAAUCUUGGCAGCUCUCUGGCAUGGUGAAAUCUCGGGGCUGUUGCCACAAUCUUCCAGAAAAUAGGAGCUUCUCAGCUCCAGAACGUUCCUAACACUCAGGAGAAGAGCUGUGCUGCAGGCCAAUCUGUCGGAGUGUCUAUAUUUAGCACCAUCUGCCAGGAAUAUUCCAAACUGCCUAUUUCAGCACAUGCCGUUUUGUGCAAACGGGACUGCUCCACCACUAGCUCGAGGGAGACCAAGGGCACAAAGGGGAUUUUCCGGUUUUGAUGUCAUUAAAUGUUGCGAGUUGGCUCUUCAGCCAACCUGCAGAUGAGAUAUGGGAGAGGAUGGAGGCCGGGUUUUCCCAGGGCGUCUGUCCCUGAGUCCCACACUUCUAGUGGCUCAAUAGCAAUCCAGGGGGUUCUGGUGGAGAAAAGGGACAUCCCGGGCCCGCACUCCCACACAGCAUUCCUGAGGCACCGGGGUGGCCCUGCCCGUUUCACGGCUCCCUUCUUCCACCCCACAAAUCCCUGUGCAGACUCCUGCAGCCUUAACCACCCCCGCCCCGCCCCAUAUAGCCUUGACCUGUCUCAGUGACAGACCAGGGCCCCCACAUACUGAGGGCUUUCCCUGUACCCAUUUUCAGUGCUGCCUUCUACAUGCACCAGUUCAUUUCAUCCUCUGAAGGAGGCACUAUUCUUAGUUCCACUUUACAGCUAAGGAAACAGGCUUACAGAGGCCCAGGGACUUGCCGCAUCAAAAUUCAAGCCAGAUCUCAUGAUCUUAACCACUGACAGCAUACUGACCCAUUCUAUACACACCCAGCCAAUCUCCCUGUUUUCUUCCCCUCACUACAGACUCUGUAUUUUUUUUGCAUGUUCAGGCACACCUAGGAGAUGUUGCUGAUUUGGUUCCACACUACCACAGUAAAGCAAAUACUGCAAUAAAGUGAGUCCAAUGAAUUUUUUGGUUUCCCAGUGCAUAACAGUUAUACACUAUACUGUAGUUUAUUAAGUGUACAAUGGCAUUAGCAUCUAUAAAAC
Manis pentadactyla (Chinese pangolin) is the source of this 12172-nucleotide long non-coding RNA. RefSeq lists it as uncharacterized. The record is from RefSeq and is a predicted model, not a curated record. The transcript has 5 exons. Lineage: Eukaryota; Metazoa; Chordata; Mammalia; Pholidota; Manidae.